RNAcentral lists this small RNA (275 nucleotides) under Colwellia polaris. RNAcentral describes it as "5' ureB small RNA". It matches the Rfam family "5' ureB small RNA". The record is from RNAcentral. Lineage: Bacteria; Pseudomonadati; Pseudomonadota; Gammaproteobacteria; Alteromonadales; Colwelliaceae.
AUUUGUUGCGGACAAAUAAAAUGAAUGUGCGCGUCAAUACCACCAGCCGUUAGAAUUUGUCCUUCACCUGCAAUAACUUCUGUGCCGGGUCCUACUUCAAUAUCAACAUUGUCUUGAAUAUCAGGGUUACCGGCUUUACCAAUAAUGGCAAUACGCCCGUUUUUAAUACCAACAUCGGCUUUAAUAAUGCCCCAGUGAUCAACAAUUAGCGCAUUUGUGAUCACUAAGUCUACGGUUUCAAAGCAUGAGGCUUGGCUUUGACCCAUACCAUCUCG